RNAcentral lists this ribosomal RNA (533 nucleotides) under uncultured Jeotgalicoccus sp. RNAcentral's name for it is "bacterial SSU rRNA". It matches the Rfam family "Bacterial small subunit ribosomal RNA", at positions 1011 to 1518 of the family's 1533-position model. Lineage: Bacteria; Bacillati; Bacillota; Bacilli; Caryophanales; Staphylococcaceae. The record is from RNAcentral.
AGCUUCCCGUUCGGGGCAGAGUGACAGGUGGUGCAUGGUUGUCGUCAGCUCGUGUCGUGAGAUGUUGGGUUAAGUCCCGCAACGAGCGCAACCUUACGUUAGUUGCCAUCAUUAAGUUGGCGACUCUAGACUGACUGCCGGUGACAACCGGAGGAAGGUGGGACGACGUACAAAUCAUCAUCGACCCCUUAUGUAGUUUGGGCUACACACGUGCUACAAGUGACGAGUUAACGAAAGGGCAGACAACGCCGCGGACGGACCAAGACGAACUCCCAAAUAAAACUUGUUCUCUAGGUCGGUAGUUGGAGUCUGACAACUCCCGAACCCCAUAGGAAGCGUAGGAAUCGCUAAGUAAUCGUAGAUCAGCAUGCUACGUGAAUACGUUCCCGGGUCUUGUACACACCGCCCGUCACACCACGGAAGUCGAUAACACCUGAAGCCGGUGGGCCAACCAUUUAUGGAGGCAGCCGUCGAAGGUGGGAUGGAUGACUGGGGUGAAGUCGAAACAAGGUAGCCGUAUCGGAGGGUGCGGC